This 484-nucleotide ribosomal RNA is filed under the name uncultured bacterium. RNAcentral describes it as "partial 16S ribosomal RNA". It matches the Rfam family "Bacterial small subunit ribosomal RNA", at positions 30 to 507 of the family's 1533-position model. The record is from RNAcentral.
AUUGAACGCUGGCGGCAGGCCUAAACCUGCCAGGUGGGCGGAUGAAGGGAGGUUUCCUCUGGAAUCAGCGGCGGACGGGUGAGUAAUUGCCUGGAAUCUUGCCGGGAGUUGGGGAUAACGUUCGGAAACCGGGGGUAAUUCCCCCUACCGUCCGGGGGAGGAAGGUGGGGGUCCUCGGGCCCUCACGCAUUAGGAGGAGCCUAGGUCGGAUUAGCUAGUGGGUGGGGUAAAGGCCUACCAAGGCGACGAUCCGUAACUGGUCUGAGAGGAUGAUCAGUCACACUGGAACUGAGACACGGUCCAGACUCCUACGGGAGGCAGCAGUGGGGAAUAUUGGACAAUGGGCGAAAGCCUGACCCAGCCAUGCCGCGUGUGUGAAGAAGGUCUUCGGAUUGUAAAGCACUUUAAGUUGGGAGGAAGGGCAGUAAGUUAAUACCUUGCUGUUUUGACGUUACCAACAGAAUAAGCACCGGCUAACUUCGUG